Saccostrea echinata is the source of this 973-nucleotide long non-coding RNA. RefSeq lists it as uncharacterized. The record is from RefSeq and is a predicted model, not a curated record. The transcript is spliced from 2 exons. Lineage: Eukaryota; Metazoa; Mollusca; Bivalvia; Ostreida; Ostreidae.
UGUCAACUCUCCCGAAUUUUUCGGAAGUCUACCGAUUUUUAACCAUCCCUACCGAUUGUCUACCGAAUUUUUUUUAGACUGACGUUUCUACCGAUUUUGAAAAAAAUCCGGAUUUUUUACCUACUUGGGUUCGUAAAAUACCGACAUGUCAACACAAAAAUGGAGGUCAUGCACUGUUUAUCGGUAGCUAAUCUGUUUAUUGCCACUGAUAACAGGUAAUCAACAAGGUGUCAACUGUGCUACCAGAUGUAAUUGCAGUUGUAAUUGCUCCUUAUUCUCAUUAAAAGUGUAUAUUAUCAAAGACAGAUAUGCCAGAUGUAAAAAUUUUGCAAAAAAAUGACGGUAAAUAACGAUAUGGAUACAUGUACUUGAUACUUUGCUGCAAAUAAGUUUACAAGUACCCAAGACAUUACAAUUCCUCCAUAAACAAUACAGUGAUCAGGAAAGAUAUAACUACAGUACUCUAUUAUUAAUUUAACGAGGAGAGGGGAAAAAUUUCAUGGAAGCUAAUAAUGAAGAGUCUGAAGAGUUCCCCACAGAUUUGAGAUUCAAUGUCUUAGUAAAUCCUGCAUCAACAUCAGCAUAUAAAAGCCCCUGAAACUACAGAGCAGCAUGACAGUGCCUUUAGAAAACUUCUUUGAAUUUACAUAGCUAAACAAGAUCCUUAAAUCCAGGACACAACUCUUGCUUCUUAGACUUAGUGAGAAAAAUCCAUUCAUCCAUCUAUUAAAAGCUGGAAACUCAGACUGUUUGCAGAACCUUAUUAAUUUUUCUAAUUGCCAAGUUAAACUUUGACAUUUGCCAUGAAUAUUAUUCAAAUGACACUCUUAUGGACAGGCAGAAUAUACAUUGAAGAACAUGUAUUUUUAUAAUUUCAAAAAUCACAUUGUACAAGUUUCUAAACAAUGUAUGAAUAAAAAGUAAAUUUUAUGAAUAAAUGAUAAUAAUAAUAUUAAUAAAAAAGUUUUAUCUU